UUCGAGCCUAGAAGUAGGAGUUUCUUUCGGAUCUAAAAAAACCUUACAUUAAACCCGGGGCAGGGUAGUGUUCAGUUAAUCUGACUACACAUUCAAAUUACAAGACGAAGCAUCUCGUCUGUAGAUCAACCACAAGAUAUUAUUUACACACAUCCCGAAGCAUAGAAGGAACCAUGCAAAAUCCAAAGGUUAUGUUGGAUUGUCCUUCAAAUCACCAAUGACUUGGCAGUCACAAU
This 236-nucleotide long non-coding RNA is filed under the name Lathyrus oleraceus (garden pea). RNAcentral's name for it is "Pisum sativum (pea) long non-coding RNA (PSAT_LNC019128)". The record is from RNAcentral. Lineage: Eukaryota; Viridiplantae; Streptophyta; Magnoliopsida; Fabales; Fabaceae.